ACAACCACAAAAGAGAAGAGUUCGACCCUGAAUAUGACAAUGAUGCUGAGCGGCUCUUGGCUGAGAUGGAGUUCAAACCGAACGAUACUCAAGAAGAAAAAAAGCUGAAGCUGCGUGUCUUGAGUAUAUUUUGGAAAAGGCUUGAUGAGAGGAAACGUAGAAAGGAAUUCAUACUAGAAAGAAACCUGUUGUACCCAAAUCCCUAUGAGAACGGCGUUUAGACGUUUUCAUGCGCUUUCAUUCAAAAGAAGAGCAUCAAGAGCUACUUAACAGUGUUGUGAGCGAGUACCGCCUGGUGAAACGGCUCAAAGAUCUCAAGGAAGCUCAAAUGGCAGGGUGUCGUUCGAAUGCUGAGGCAGAGAGGUAUCUGGGGAGGAGGACGAAGCGAGAGAACGAAAAAAGGGAUGAACAGAGGGAUAGAGAGCAGUCUUGUGCAAGCAUCUUCAAGCUAUCUGAAUGAUAUGGACCUGAUCGGGUUCACAGAGUCGCAACUGCUGUCUGUGAGAAAAAAUUACCUAAUAGUUCUUGGAACACACACUCAAUCUGUUUUUUGUCGGACGUCUGUUUCGAAGGCCACAUUAGCAACACAUAUUUCGAUAAAGAGACUGAUGCAAUGGUAUUUUUGUUCUACGAGUAAGUAUCUAAUGGUGAAACUUCAUAUUCAUGUAGACUGGUCUCUAAAGACACUGGAAACACUUCCAGUACCUACAUUGCUCAGGGGAUACGCCGAGGUUGAGCUGUUGAGCAUAUCUGAGCUGAAUGAGUUCAUCAUCACCGCCCAACCUCAGGUUGUAGCAUAAAUUUUUAUAUUUUAAAACUCUGCAAGUUUAUACUCCGUAUGUGAUUCUAAUAAUUAUGCAACAUAGGAAAUCAAAUUCGUCUGUACUGGUGGUGCUACGUAUCCUGUUCUAGGUGCACAAAGAAACUCCAAAGAACUGUGUCGUCCUUUACUUGCGUAAGCUGCAAUAAUACCAAUGCUGUUUGCUCCAGUAUUAUGAACCACUUGCCUCUUUUAUUCCUUUUAAAUUUAAUCUCAUAAAAACCUAACACAUCAUUACCAACCCACAACCAACACGGUUUUCACACAUUAUAUCUACUUUCACAGGUAUCGUGUGGAGAUGAGCAAUGCUGAUGACACUAAUGAGGGUCUGUUUGUUGGUUUGACUAAACUACAUAACGUGCGCGCUAUGAAGCUGGUCAUCUUAUGAUACGCAUACAUAGCAUCGUGUAACAUAUUCCAUAAAUUAUGUAUUAUGAACCUGCACCAGAUACGUUCAACACCUUGGCUGGAGAGGGAGUUAAUCCAGAGGAUACCCAGCUACCGCCUUUUUAUUGCGGUGGUAAUACAUACAGCUAUCAUCAACGAACUUGACUGUCUGCCACCCCCGACUUUGUUGCCGACGUAAGUUGAAACAUAUAUUCCAUUAACAUUCCUUUGUAGAAAGAAAUAGUGAUUUUUCGGAUUAACAGGAGGGUGACGAUGGUAAUGGAGUCUUCUAGGUUAAAGCUGGUGGUACUAAUCGUGAGGAUUCAUCAUCUGCUUCGAAGGUGGUCAAGAAGGCACGGAAGAAAUAAGUGGAGUUGAUAUACUUAAAAAAAAAGGAGUUGAUAUACUUAUCUAUUUUGAAUAUUCAAGUCACUUUUUAAUAAGGGGAUAAUGCUUCGGCAUCGUUGUUGGUUUUAUGUUUUGUCAUCUUAUUCUAGAGUUUGCUGUGUUUUGUUAAACCUAUUAUUAAAAUGUCUUUUUGGGCUUUUGCAACAAUUUCACCUCUCACUAAAUAACUGCGGUUCCGGAUGACAACUCCUCACAUAGUCCAUAAUUAAAUUUCAAAUUGAACAAAUAAAUAAUAAAAAAUGUUCUACUCGAUAUAGUAGAGCAUAUAAGUAAUAUCUCUUCACUGUACACUGUAUUUUCUUUAUUUUUUUGGUCAUCAUCACAAUGUAUUUUCUUUGAAAAUGUCCUUACAGAUUGAAAAUGUGUGUAUAUAUAUAUAAAUAUUUAUUAAUUUUAAAAUUUUAGAACAAAUAUCAUACUUGAAUUGAAAUUUACAAAAAAAUCAAACCAUUAACAUAUAUUUAAAUAUUUAUAGUUUUUUUAAAAAAUAAUUUUAAGAAACAAACCUAAUUUAUUUAACCAAUACUCUUUAAAAUAUCUCUUUCCGUGGACCAAAAAUAGCGAAAGUUAAUAUUACUUUCUAUAAAUUAUUUUAAAAGUAUACUAAAAAUAAAGAUAACAUUUAUCUAUAAAAUAUAACAAAAAGUAAAUCCACGUAGCAAUCCUUUCAAACCCAAAACAUAAUAGAUAACAAUUAACAUUUCAAGUUUGAGUUAAACAUCCAAUAAUAAUAAAAAAAAAAUAAAAAACAAACAGAUAGAGACUCCAUUCAAACUCUAUAAUAUAAAACAUUGUGAAUAAGUUGAAACUAAGAUAUAUUUGGUUCACAAAAGAGCUUAUUGAUAUGAAAUGGAAAUAGCUUGAGAAACUUUAUUAUGCAAAAAUGUAAAGAAAGGAAAAGACUUUAAAUGUUUGUCACCAAGAUGGAGAAGCUUGUGAUUGAUUCAUAAAAUGAGAUUGAUAGAGGGGCUGCUAGAACCGCAGCCAAAGUUGCAUGCAUUCUACAUUUAAUAUAUAUAUAGUUCUAAGAAACUCUAAACACAUGGUUACCAAACACUUCAUAACAUAUGGAUUUUGGUGUGGGCUUUAAUAACAUAAGCUUCAUAACCAAAAUAAAUAAAUAAGUCCCCCUAUAACCUUCUUAAACCAAUCUAAUCUAAUCCAAUCACCCAUACUUUAGAAAAAAAACACUCAUGUACAUAUCAAUUCCAUACAAAAUCUUAACAAAAAAAAAUGAAUAAUAUAACAAUGAAUAUACAAAUGACAAAAGCAAGCAAAAUUAUUUUUAUCACGUAAAAUACAAUUUAAAAAAUACUCAUGCAUUUGAAAUAUUUAGUAAAAAAUUAAAUAUCAUUUUUUACAUAUCACAAAGUUAUUUAUUAUAAUAAAAUUAUCCUUUAUUGUGUAAGAAUAUUAAAAACACUUGUGAAUACAUAAAAGUAUAUACAAUAUAUAUAGAGAGAUAUAUCUCUUUUAUUUAAAAAUAAUAAUGAUGUAAAAUAUUAUUUUUGGAUAACACAAUAUAAAUUAUUUUUAUAUAAUGAUAAUUACCAAAUAAAAAAUCAUUUUAUUUACGAUAAUAUAUUAACAAAUCUAAUUAUUUAUUUAAGAUAUGAAGACUUUAUAACACAAUAUAAAUUAUUUUAGACAAUGAUAAUUAUCAAAUCAAUAAAAUUUUGUUUUAAUAUAUUGUUAAUUAUAUACUAACAAAUCUAUUUAUUUACUAAGGAUAGUAAAUUUUUAGUUGCUUUAACUUUAAGUAUGAUAAUUCAGAGGCAAAAUUAUCACUUUACAAAUUAUAAUAUAGAUUAUUUAAAUAAAUAUAAAUAAAUUUUUUAAAUAAAAAUUUAAUUACACCAAACAAUCUGCGCGUAGCGCGGAUAAAAGAUCUAGU
Molecule: long non-coding RNA, 3509 nt
Organism: Brassica napus (rape)
Lineage: Eukaryota; Viridiplantae; Streptophyta; Magnoliopsida; Brassicales; Brassicaceae
Exons: 3
Source: RefSeq, a predicted model, not a curated record